AUUGAACGCUGGCGGCAUGCCUUACACAUGCAAGUCGAACGGCAGCACGGGAGCAAUCCUGGUGGCGAGUGGCGAACGGGUGAGUAAAUGUAUCGGAACGUACCUUUCAGUGGGGGAUAACGUAGCGAAAGUUACGCUAAUACCGCAUAUUCUGUGAGCAGGAAAGCAGGGGAUCGCAAGACCUUGCGCUGAUUGAGCGGCCGAUAUCAGAUUAGCUAGUUGGUGAGGUAAAGGCUCACCAAGGCGACGAUCUGUAGCGGGUCUGAGAGGAUGAUCCGCCACACUGGAACUGAGACACGGUCCAGACUCCUACGGGAGGCAGCAGUGGGGAAUUUUGGCAAUGGAGGCAACUCUGAACCAGCCAUGCCGCGUGUAGGAAGAAUGCCCUAUGGGUUGUAAACUACUUUUAUUGGGGAAGAAACCCUUCUAACGUGUAGAAGGCUGACGGUACCCAAGGAAUAAGGACCGGCUAACUCCGUGCCAGCAGCCGACGG
Molecule: ribosomal RNA, 494 nt
Filed under: uncultured bacterium
Lineage: Bacteria
Description: bacterial SSU rRNA
Rfam family: Bacterial small subunit ribosomal RNA
Source: RNAcentral